Molecule: long non-coding RNA, 902 nt
Organism: Dreissena polymorpha
Lineage: Eukaryota; Metazoa; Mollusca; Bivalvia; Myida; Dreissenidae
Exons: 4
Source: RefSeq, a predicted model, not a curated record
GGCUACAAUAACAAUUCAAAUUCAAGAGAGUGCGUACAUCCGAACAGAAAGUGUCUGCGCACAUCCGCAGAAUUAAAAACGCCUUCUUCUCAGCCAUAGCUUAGCUAUAAAAACAAGAAAGUGACUUUGGAUUUGUUCAUCGACUGACAAGAACUUCUGACUUUUAAGAAACCUGAAAAACAAUGGCUUCAACUAAAUCUAAGCCCGGUGGUUGGACCCCCCCAAAACCCAGAGGAUCCAACAAUCGUAAAAAUGGCGACGAAAGCAGCUCAUACAUUAUGGCCAGAUCUUUUCAUGGACCGAGUAGUAAAGGCUGAAUCGCAGGUCGUUGCAGGUACGAACUACCGCAUGGAUAUCCUGCUGUACAGAAUCAUAAAUGAUCGGGUGACAUGGAAGCAAACCGUGCAGGUGUUUGAGCCUCUCCCAGGCUCGAAUUGACGAAGAUGUUGAAUGUGGUUAAAUGCGAAUAGCUACCACAUCUGAAUUACACCGGAAUUGUUUUGCAUAUGGGGCGUGCAUGUUUUACAAACAGCCCUUGUUAUGUAUUUUGUUAACUGAAAAAUAACAAUCUACGCCGAUGUUCACUUUUAUUAGAAUACGAAAACAUGUAUUAACGUGACAAGUAUCUCAAAUUGUAUAAUUUUUACUCAUGUAAACAUUAUAUAUGGUCAAUUUUUUGUAGACGUUGUAUUCAUUUAGACAAUGAAAAUUAAAAAAGGCAUUAUUUAUAGCCAUACAAAUGUGUUUUUCACAAGUACUUGUAUGAUUUUUUUCACUUUGUCAUUCUACUUUGAUUUACAUUAUCCCUUGUAAGAGUUGUAAAUUUUUGAUGCUUUUCUGCAUUGCCGUAGUCAAUAAUGGGAACUACAAUAAUGCAACUUUAAGACUAUCUUGAUUCUGUA